GAAGUGUGUAUCAGUGAGUUCAGACAAUCAGUCAUGAGGUUUCCUUUCUGUUUCUGUCUUUUCCUCUCUGUGCUUCAUUUUAUUAAGGGAUGUCAUGUUUCAGAUCAUAGAGAGUGUAAAAUAGUAACAGGUUACACAGGUGGAUCAAUCCUGCUGCCCUGCUCCUGUACUGACCCUCAGUCUACAGUCAGGACAUUCAACUGGAUCCACUAUAAAAGAGAAGGCCAGUGGCUUGGAGUAUUUAAAGAUGACAACUACAAGAACAGACUGAAGCUGUUUAAUCAAAGUUCUCCAGCGAAUCUGUCUCUGCUCAUUUCUGACCUCAGAAAGAAGGAUGAAGGGUUAUAUAGAUGUGAGGCUCCACAAACUACAAAUAUUACAUAUACAGACAUUAACUUACAAAUUCAAGGGUGUGAUCUAGAUCAGAAUAAACCUGUGGCUAAGGAAACGGGACACUCGGGAGAGUCUGUGGUUCUGCCCUGCUCCUGUACUGAACUACAGGCUAAACCUGAACAACUUACAUGGACAUUUACUGCAAUAAACAAAAACUCUGAAGAAAUUUACCCACAUGAACAGAGCGAGAGAGAUACAGGUCGAGUCAGACUAUUAAAUGAAAUCUCUCCUGGAAAUCUCUCUCUACAAAUAUCAAAUUUGACCAAAGAGGACCAGGGAGAAUAUCGCUGCUCUGUCUCAUCUCAACAGCACAUUAACAUCAGACUCAUUGUUCAAGAGGAAAUUUACUUUCAAUCGUUCUGUUUAUCAACCCAUAAACCUGCAAAACACAGAGAAGAAAGUUCAACCACUCAACACACAGGAGGCAUAACGAGAAAACAGCCACAAAUCUUGCAUUAAUAAUGAGUUUCCAUGUUCAAACAGCAGACGCCCCAGCACAGAGACGCAGCAGAGCACGUGGAGUCUAUCAGCACCGAGUAAAAAUGACUCUAAAUCAUAAUCUGCAUUUUAUUUGAAACAUCAGAAACUUUCUGAUCUAACUUUGUUAACCUAUUUUAUGGCCUCUGUUUUAUCUCAACAUAUCUUGUUUAUACCCUCUUUAAUUUUAAGAUGUGUGUAUACUUAUGUGUGUUUAGCUAAUUUCAAAAAGCUUUUUUGCUAGUUGACUUCAAUUAUCAUGGGAAGAAAAAGCCAGACCAAAAGCAGUGCUUUAGAGUUAAAGAUUAGUAGCAUUUUCUUCAUAAUCUCUAAGGCAAGUUUCCAGAACGCAUUGUUAUCUUGGUAUCAUGUAAUUCUUUUUGAUGAUUUAACAAAUAGUGCAUAUAUGUCUGUCUUCCAGGAGUUUACCAUUUUGUUACAAUAAAAAAUAUUGUCAAAAUAUAUUAUAGCUAGAUAUCGUGUCACUGAUGCUACUUAAGAAAAUACUUUGUAUGAUCUCUCUCUCUCUCUCUCUCCCUCUCUAUUUCAAUUCAGUUAAGCUUUAUUAGCAUGACUGUAACACAAUGUUGCCAAAGCAUUAACAUAUAUAUAACAACAUAAAU
Molecule: long non-coding RNA, 1493 nt
Organism: Carassius auratus (goldfish)
Lineage: Eukaryota; Metazoa; Chordata; Actinopteri; Cypriniformes; Cyprinidae
Exons: 5
Source: RefSeq, a predicted model, not a curated record